AAAGUGGCGAACGGCUGAGUAACACGUGGGCAACCUGCCCUUUGCACUGGGAUAGCCUCGGGAAACCGAGGUUAAUACCGGAUACUCCAUAUUUGUCGCAUGGCGAAUAUGGGAAAGCUCCGGCGGCAAAGGAUGGGCCCGCGGCCUGUUAGCUAGUUGGUGGGGUAGUGGCCUACCAAGGCAAUGAUGGGUAGCCGGGUUGAGAGACCGACCGGCCAGAUUGGGACUGAGACACGGCCCAGACUCCUACGGGAGGCAGCAGUC
This 264-nucleotide ribosomal RNA is filed under the name uncultured Atopobium sp. RNAcentral describes it as "partial 16S ribosomal RNA". It matches the Rfam family "Bacterial small subunit ribosomal RNA", at positions 92 to 355 of the family's 1533-position model. The record is from RNAcentral. Lineage: Bacteria; Bacillati; Actinomycetota; Coriobacteriia; Coriobacteriales; Atopobiaceae.